GACGAACCGAGCGAACGUUGUUCGGAAUCACUGGGCGUAAAGCGCACGUAGGCGGAUUUCUAAGUCGGGGGUGAAAUCCUGGAGCUCAACUCCAGAACUGCCUUCGAUACUGGAAGUCUUGAGUCCGGGAGAGGUGAGUGGAACUGCGAGUGUAGAGGUGAAAUUCGUAGAUAUUCGCAAGAACACCAGUGGCGAAGGCGGCUCACUGGCCCGAUACUGACGCUGAGGCACGAAAGCGUGGGGAGCAAACAGG
RNAcentral lists this ribosomal RNA (253 nucleotides) under uncultured bacterium. RNAcentral's name for it is "partial 16S ribosomal RNA". It matches the Rfam family "Bacterial small subunit ribosomal RNA", at positions 524 to 776 of the family's 1533-position model. The record is from RNAcentral.